Molecule: ribosomal RNA, 253 nt
Filed under: uncultured Acinetobacter sp.
Lineage: Bacteria; Pseudomonadati; Pseudomonadota; Gammaproteobacteria; Moraxellales; Moraxellaceae
Description: partial 16S ribosomal RNA
Rfam family: Bacterial small subunit ribosomal RNA
Source: RNAcentral
UACGUAGGGUGCAAGCGUUAAUCGGAAUUACUGGGCGUAAAGCGUGCGUAGGUGGCCAAUUAAGUCAAAUGUGAAAUCCCUGAGCUUAACUUAGGAAUUGCAUUCGAUACUGGUUGGCUAGAGUAUGGGAGAGGAUGGUGGAAUUCCAGGUGUAGCGGUGAAAUGCGUAGAGAUCUGGAGGAAUACCGAUGGCGAAGGCAGCCAUCUGGCCUAAUACUGACACUGAGGCACGAAAGCAUGGGGAGCAAACAGG